GUUUUUUUUUUAAAUCACUGAUUUGUAUGUGCCCUGCAGGUAACGCUUCUGAAAUGCUGCCCUCUUAUUUCAUGUAACUAAAUUACUGUUUCUGGCCCAUAUGAUAGUGUGAAAUAUAUCACAGGAACACAGCUUGUAAGCGUGGAAAAUCCAGUCAGAUCCCUUGGCUAGAACAGGCAGCUGUCAAACCUCACACCGGCUUGCCAUGUUGAAAUACCGAAUCUGGUACCUCUCGUUCUGUGUGCGCGAUACCGGGUCUCCCGUUGUAUUCUGCUCAACUAGUCAGACCGGAUUGAUGAGUAGUCAGGCUUCAGUUCUCCUGGGAUGCCGGGGGGUGUGCACUGGUGUCUUCGACCUUAUGCUAUGGAAACUACCUUUGUUUUCCCUUUCCUCCUAGGUGCAGAGGCUGUAGCGAUGAGUAGUAAAGGCUAUCGGCGAGAGAGUUUCCAGAGCAGCACUAGUGAUGAAGACCUGGUGGAGAUAGCCGGAGGAGCUCUGGACUUCUCCCUGACAGAUGACGAUCCCCCACUGGAUAGAGAGAUGUUGGGAGGGUUCUCCUUAUACAAUGGAGGAGGGAUGAACGGCACAAGCCACAUGAUGGACUUUCUGGAGGAACCUCUGCCGGGGGUGGGUACCUAUGAAGAUUUCAAUACCAUCGACUGGGUGAGAGAGAAAUCCAGAGACCGGGACAGGCACAGAGAGAUUGCUAGUAAAAGUAAAGAGUCAACAUGGGCCCUGCUUCAGAGCGUGAGCGAUGCCUUUUCUGGCUGGCUGCUGAUGCUUCUCAUAGGGUUGUUAGCAGGUUCUCUAGCGGGUCUGAUAGACAUCUCUGCCCACUGGAUGACCGAUUUGAAAGAAGGGCUGUGUCUGACAGGCUUCUGGUUUAACCAUGAACACUGCUGCUGGAAUUCCAAUGAGACCACCUUUGAGGAUAGGGAUAAAUGCCCGCAAUGGGAGACCUGGUCACAGCUUAUACUUGGCCAUGGAGAGGGGGCAUUUGCGUACAUUCUCAAUUACUUCAUGUAUGUUCUUUGGGCACUGGUAUUCUCUCUGCUGGCAGUGUUACUCGUCAGGGGAUUUGCGCCUUAUGCUUGUGGCUCAGGAAUCCCGGAGAUCAAAACGAUCUUGAGCGGUUUCAUCAUUCGCGGCUAUUUGGGCAAGUGGACCCUGAUCAUCAAAACUGUUACAUUGGUGUUGGCAGUAUCGUCAGGCUUGAGUUUGGGGAAAGAGGGCCCUUUGGUGCACGUUGCUUGCUGCUGUGGAAACAUCUUGUGUCACCUUUUCACCAAAUACCGAAAAAACGAAGCCAAGCGCAGAGAGGUUUUGUCAGCUGCUGCAGCUGCUGGCGUGUCUGUAGCGUUUGGUGCACCAAUCGGAGGGGUGUUGUUCAGUCUGGAAGAGGUGAGUUACUACUUUCCCCUCAAGACUCUGUGGAGAUCUUUCUUUGCCGCCCUGGUAGCAGCGUUCACCUUGCGCUCCAUCAACCCUUUUGGCAACAGCCGCCUGGUUCUGUUUUACGUGGAGUUUCACACCCCUUGGCACCUGCUGGAGCUGGUGCCGUUCAUCCUGUUGGGAAUAUUCGGUGGCCUUUGGGGAUCUUUCUUUAUUCGCAGCAACAUUGCCUGGUGCAGACGCCGCAAGACGACCAAGCUCGGCAAGUACCCUGUGCUGGAGGUCAUUGUCGUCACGGCCAUCACGGCCAUCCUGGCUUUCCCCAACGAGUACACCCGCAUGAGCACCAGCGAGCUGAUCUCCGAACUCUUCAACGACUGCGGGCUGCUGGAUUUCUCCAAGCUCUGCGAGUACGUCAACGACUUCAACAGCACCAAAGGGGAUGAUCUGCCGGACCGAGCGGCCGGCCCGGGAGUCUACACAGCCAUGUGGCAGCUGGCUCUGGCCUUGAUCCUAAAAGUCUUCAUCACCAUAUUCACGUUUGGCAUGAAGGUCCCUUCGGGUCUCUUCAUUCCCAGCAUGGCGGUUGGCGCCAUCGUGGGCAGACUCCUAGGCGUGGGAAUGGAGCAGCUGGCUUACUAUCACCACGACUGGGCUAUAUUCAGCGGCUGGUGCAGUCAAGGGGCUGACUGCAUCACUCCUGGCCUUUAUGCAAUGGUUGGGGCUGCAGCGUGUCUAGGUGGAGUCACCCGGAUGACCGUGUCGCUGGUGGUGAUUAUGUUUGAGCUCACGGGGGGACUGGAAUACAUUGUACCUCUCAUGGCUGCCGCCAUGACUAGCAAGUGGGUGGCAGAUGCCAUUGGGCGGGAGGGCAUCUACGACGCCCAUAUUCGUCUCAACGGUUACCCUUUCCUGGAAGCCAAGGAGGAGUUCUCCCACAAGACUCUGGCCAUGGACGUCAUGAGGCCCCGGCGGAACGACCCCGUUCUGACUGUCCUCACGCAGGACAGCAUGACCGUGGAGGACGUGGAGGCCAUAAUCAACGAAACCACGUACAGCGGCUAUCCGGUGGUGGUGUCCCGGGAGUCCCAGAGACUAGUGGGGUUUGUCCUCCGGCGGGAUCUCAUCAUCUCAAUUGAAAAUGCCCGGAAGAAGCAGGAUGGAAUUGUGAGCACCUCAGUUAUUUAUUUCACUGACCACUCUCCUCCGCUGCCUCCGAGCUCCCCGUCCAUGCUUAAGCUCAGGAGCAUCCUGGACCUCAGCCCCUUCACCGUGACGGACCAAACGCCCAUGGAGAUAGUUGUGGAUAUAUUCCGCAAGCUGGGACUGCGCCAGUGUCUCGUCACUCACAACGGGAAGCUGCUUGGGAUCAUUACCAAAAAGGACGUAUUAAAGCACAUUGCACAGAUGGCUAAUCAAGACCCGGAUUCCAUACUCUUCAAUUAAAAACAGACCCAUACGUAUGGGGUGUUCAACACACAGACCUGGGAUUCCCUCCUCUAUUUUUAUUAAGAAACUGGAGCGAUCUUCAGGGUUUUCCUGUAUGGAGCUGAAGAUCAUGUUUUUCUACAAAAUAACCAAUUGCACUACGUAAUCUGUGGGAAAUAAUCUUCUCUUUAGAAGACCAGACUUUAUUAUAAUGCUUUUGUGAAGUUGCAUUGGAAAGAUUCCGUGAAGGAGUAAAAGCAAAAUGCUACAGAAUUAAGUCUGUUCCCUUUCUUUUAUUUGAACGUUGAUAACUAAUGUUGGGAGGGGAAGAAAGCCAAGCUACCUUUUAAGCCUUCAAAAGCCACGGAGGAGAAGAAUGGCCCACAGCACUGAGAGACACCAAGGGCCACAAAUUGCCAGACAGCUGCUUGGUGAAAACACAAAUCUCCUAGUAUGCUUAGGCGUCUAAAAGCAAUCGGCACAAUGGUAAGAGGGCUUUUUAGUUCUCUGUUGGAACCCCAGGUAAAUCUACGUAUUCCUGCAUGCAGGUCCAGCUACGGGAGCACUUGGUUCUGCUUCUAAUCAGGACGAAGCUUCUGUUUGUCUUCUCUCACUGGAUUAAGUUACCUGCUGAUUUGCUCAUCGAAAAGUACCCAAAGGGGGAGCUGCCAGUUACGUUCAUGCCACUCUCCUCUGGUUGGCUAAGAGCAAGGGUUUGUCCUUCUCUAUCAUGAGCCAUGAAAGUGUUAACAGAGUCCUGAGUUUAUCGCCUGUGUUUUACUGUGCUCCUUCCACACAACCCCUGAUCAUGUUACAGCUUUUGCACAGCUGACCUCUUAGCCUUCAACAUAAGACACUGCUGAGUAAGGAGUCAAGUCAGCAGACCAGACUGUUACCACCACGUCAGUAUCUCCGGCUUGGAAAAUCAACACCGGGACUUUGUCUUCCGGAUCCGUGUGCAGCGGGAGACAGCUGUUUGGUCCCUCUCUGACAGGAGUGGGAACCGUUGGCAGCUCCCCACAAGCAGGUUUGUGUGUCUAGAGCUCUCCUCAGUUAUCAGCGAGUUGCCGUUGGAGUCUGUUUACCGUGAAGCUGUAGGAUUUUCAGAGUCCUGCCCCUGGCUGCUCAGAACAAUGCCCAGGGUUCCCAGGGUUGGUUAGAACGCCACAAAAAGCUAUUUGGGGCUAAACUAGAAUCCACCCUACCCCAAACAAAUCUCAUUCAUCCAGAGAACAAGUGUCGUUUUGUGUACCCCCCGCCAUGUUCCUGACGCAGAACUUGGCUUUCUUCUCACACAUCAGGGAGGCAAGGAAUGGCGGGAAGCUCUUGUGUCUUGCAGCUGCCUUAGGUGUGGAAGACUCAAAUGCUCAACCAGAUGCACCUAAUGGUCCCAGUUUUGUGUCUUUGGCCAUGUCGACACUAGGAAAUUAGUAAAUUCAACAUCUGGCUUAACAAUCAAACUAUUAAUGGAGAUUGCCUAUCUCCUAGAACUGAAAGGGACCUUAAAUGGCCAUCUGGUCCAGUCCCCUGCCUUCACAGCAGGACCAAGUACCAUCCCUGACAAAUUUUUGCCCCCAAAUGGCCUCCAAAAGGAUUGAACUCACGACCCUGGGUUUAGCAGGCCAAUGCUCAAACCACUGAGCUAUCCCCCUCCCCCAUGUCUGUGCUACAGGGAAGCCUCAAAAUGGAUCCAAGGCCGGUUCCGUUAACGGGGAUGUGCUACCUCAGAGCCCAAGGGAGCACGGCGGGGGAGGGGCAAAGAGGGAAGUGGUUUGAAUGGUUCGUUAUUUCGAAAUAGCACCGGUGCAUCCACACUCCUGGCAUUUCAUAGUAACCAUUUCAAAAUGAGCGUUCUUCCCUGAGGAAAGCAGGAGGACAGAUUUCGAAUUACGCAGCCCGUUCUAUCGAAACAAGGGGCUUGGUCGCGCGGACGCCCCGCUUAUAAACGCGACCAAAGGGGAAUUAUUUAGAGAUCAAGUGCUGUCAAGUGCGUCAUGUGUUGGGCUCCCGUGUCCCACGGGGAAGGAGCUACUGGUUACUGCCGUGUGGGAGCGGGACGGCAAACACCGCGGGGUGCAACGUGGCAGAGAGCUAGGCCAGGAUCACCCCCGGCUUUAGCCCACUCAACGUGCGUCGGGUCGGCACGUGUGCCACGGAGAGGAUCUGGUGCUGCUCCUACCAGAAGCCACGGGUGUAGACGUGGUACCGAGCUGCAAAAACAAGCCAGACGUUCCAGAGGAGAAAGGGUUUUGCUGGAAUGCUGCUCACGAAAUAAAAUUUCCGGCACUGAAAGGCUUUGGGUCUUAAUGGCAGGAAAUCCCUGCCUGUCGUCCUAUCGGAGCGAGGUGCGAGCCGACCGACUGUUGGUCUCCGGCAGCGUUUCUAUGGGUUUGCUUUGGUUUCGCACUGCGUCCUUCUGAGCCGCCAG
Pelodiscus sinensis (Chinese soft-shelled turtle) is the source of this 5248-nucleotide RNA transcript. It is a transcript of the gene named H(+)/Cl(-) exchange transporter 5, with no coding region annotated. The record is from RefSeq and is a predicted model, not a curated record. Lineage: Eukaryota; Metazoa; Chordata; Testudines; Trionychidae.